UUCUCAAAUCAGACUCCAUCAACCCCUUUUCCCUACUUUCAGAUUCACGUGACCCUGAAAACCCUUUUCUUAACUUUCAGAUUCACGCAUCCUUGAAACUAUUUCUCACCUCUCGAGGCCGUCGUAGUUGUUAGACUUUCUCUUCAUCGUUUUGAUUCCAUAGUGCAUGGGUUGUUUUGUAACCUAACUACACCCAAAUAGAGGGGAAGAUACCCGAUUACGCUUUCUCUUUUUUGACGAUGCAGUGGGGGAACCGAUAAAGGUAUGUAGAACAUAUUUUGUAACCUUAUGCAAGAAAGGUAGCUAUGAUGCUCCUGUUAUCUUUCUAAUGUGUUUUGUCUUCUGACUGCUUGAAAUUUUAAGUUCAUUGUGAUUUUGAUAAAUGGCAAGUGGAUCCUAGUUCCCUUUUGUUAUUGUUUCCAAUUCCACUUGCAAUUUGCAAAUCUUUGUAAUCUACAUCAACACCAAGUUAAGUGAAUCAACUCCAAAUGACUGCAUGUAUUGAAGAAAUGACCUAUAGUAAUUCAAACUCAAGGUGAUGGUAUCUUUCAACAAUUAAGUGUGAGCCACGUUACAAAUUGGGACAUGAAUUGAAUUUAAUGGAAAAUGGAGCGAGGAAGAAAUGACAUUGGAGCAAUGCACUUGUAAAUUUAAGUUUAGAGUUUUGAGUAUGUUCUUAGAAAGUUGUUUUUUUGUUGUAUAUUUAGCUUUAAAUAGAGUAUAACGUUAUAUACUAUUGUUUAUACUGAAACUCUUUGAAGUAAAUAAAACAAUAAAUCUUAUCAUUACUUUAAUAUAAUAUUUUAGGAUAAA
This is a long non-coding RNA of Vicia villosa (hairy vetch), 813 nucleotides long. RefSeq lists it as uncharacterized. The record is from RefSeq and is a predicted model, not a curated record. The transcript is spliced from 4 exons. NCBI's taxonomy places the organism in Eukaryota, Viridiplantae, Streptophyta, Magnoliopsida, Fabales, Fabaceae.